RNAcentral lists this ribosomal RNA (542 nucleotides) under uncultured bacterium. RNAcentral's name for it is "bacterial SSU rRNA". It matches the Rfam family "Bacterial small subunit ribosomal RNA", at positions 777 to 1319 of the family's 1533-position model. The record is from RNAcentral.
AAUAGAUACCCUGGUAGUCCACCCCGUAAACGUUGGGAACUAGUUGUGGGGUCCUUUCCACGGAUUCCGUGACGCAGCUAACGCAUUAAGUUCCCCGCCUGGGGAGUACGGCCGCAAGGCUAAAACUCAAAGGAAUUGACGGGGACCCGCACAAGCGGCGGAGCAUGCGGAUUAAUUCGAUGCAACGCGAAGAACCUUACCAAGGCUUGACAUACACCGGAAACGGCCAGAGAUGGUCGCCCCGCAAGGUCGGUGUACAGGUGGUGCAUGGUUGUCGUCAGCUCGUGUCGUGAGAUGUUGGGUUAAGUCCCGCAACGAGCGCAACCCUCGUUCUAUGUUGCCAGCACGUCAUGGUGGGAACUCAUGGGAUACUGCCGGGGUCAACUCGGAGGAAGGUGGGGAUGACGUCAAAUCAUCAUGCCCCUUAUGUCUUGGGCUUCACGCAUGCUACAAUGGCCGGUACAAAGGGCUGCAAUACCGUGAGGUGGAGCGAAUCCCAAAAAGCCGGUCCCAGUUCGGAUUGAGGUCUGCAACUCGACCUC